GGCGUGGUGUGCCCCGAUGGGUAAGGGGAUUGGGCGUUUUGCCGCUCAAUGGAUGCUGGUUCAAGUCCAGCCCCACGUCG
This 80-nucleotide transfer RNA is filed under the name Thalassococcus arenae. RNAcentral's name for it is "tRNA-OTHER". It matches the Rfam family "tRNA". Rfam says of the family: Transfer RNA (tRNA) molecules are approximately 80 nucleotides in length. Lineage: Bacteria; Pseudomonadati; Pseudomonadota; Alphaproteobacteria; Rhodobacterales; Roseobacteraceae. The record is from RNAcentral.